GUUUCCAUUAGCUUUGGCUGGGAGUCGAGGCCGGCAGAGAGGUGAGCAGCCAAAUGCUGGGUCUUGGCAGAGAGGCCAAACCAGAGCUUGAGCUCGGGUACAUACUCAACCCUGCCAUGGAAGGGUAAUUAAGGUCCAGUGACCGAGAUGCGUCCAUGUGUGGUUCACCAUGUGCAAGCAGUAGGUGCCAGCACCCUCUACAGAUAUGCAAAUCUGGUUGCCACCGUCGACCUCAAGAAGAGCAUAUGAGCUGAUCACGGUGCGGAUGUCACGGUACUUGGGAUCAAGGACAAACGGCGGUGGAGGGAGAGGUUGGCACAAGGAGGUGGAGGUGGGCUAGCUUGUGGUAGAUGAAUGCCUCGAACUGAUGGAUGCUGCUGCUGCAUCUUGUCUCCGGUCUCGGAAGAGACUCCAUGAUGAAGAAAGAAUGUUCCACCACUAUCAUCAGCGCUGGCGCUAGGGACGAAGAGGGAGAGGGGCCACUUCUUGGGCUUGUGGAGGUCAGGCGUGGUCAACACGUGGCGUGUGUCCGCGUCAAAGAGGAAGGUGCGCCCGAACAGCACCUCACGACCACCAAGCGGGAAGCAGUGCAUGGCCCAAAUUAAGGUCGGCCAUGGUUGCAGCUCGGAAGUUGAAGAGCGGGCUGGGAAGCCGAAUCCUUUCCACCCUCUGAUUGCAGUACGUGUUGAAGAAAUGCUGGCGCGUCAGGUCGAUGCAGCGCACGGCCAGUUGCGCGUCCUUGCGGCAGGAUGUACGAAAGCCAGGCAAUGCACGCGGCCAGCCAGGGAAAAUAAAUGGCCCAAAGAAUUUUUUCUCUCAUGUCUCUCCUAUCUAUCUCUUCUCUCCUCUCCUCUAUCAUAUCAUUAUUGUGGGGGCGAUCUGGUUCACCAAAUGGGACAGGAAUCAGCAAUGGUUGCUAUUUUUGUGGGUGUUCUCGUGAAAUCCUUACAAUAGUGAGUCUCUGAAAAAAAUUCUGAGUGAAUUCCACUUUUUACCCCCAGUUUGAUAUUUUCGACACAAAUUACCCCAUUUAACAAGAAUUCUUUUAUUUUACCCCAUUUAGUCAGACGUAUGCCAUUUUUUACCCAUCUAUUUUUUUCACCGUUCUAACCUGGAUGUAGCCCUGAACGUUGGUUUGCUUGGUUGGGUUAAGGUGGGCUUGAUGGGUUUUGCAGCCUCAUUUGAUGGUUGGGGAAAUUAUGAUUUGGGUGGGUUUAGAUGGGUUAGCAGGGAGAUGAUUAGGUGGUUGGGUUGGAUUGUAUUGGAUGGGUUGGUGGGUUGAGAAAAGGUAAACGAGUAAACGACCGCGCCUUGUGUUCGCUGCUUGCUGAGGUGGGUAAAAAUUGGCAAAACUUUUAUUAAAUGGGGUAAAAUAAAAGAAUUUCUGCUAAAUGGGGUAAUUUGUGUCAAAAAGAUCAAAUCAGUGGUAAAAAUGAAAUUCACUCAAAAAAUAAUUUUGGAAUUCAUCCUUUUAAUUUCUGUUCCAGCAAAUGGUCUGUUACAUGACAACUGAAUUUGCAACAGAUGAUGAGACUCUGAGCGGAGGCUCAGCGUGCAGGUGGUUCCUGAAUGGGGAUUUACCAGAGAUCAACAACUGCUUUGAAAGCUGCAAAAGUUUCCGUGGAUAAGCACUGGCGCCGAGAAAUUGUGUCACAGAUCAAUUCAUUGAAGCGGUCACGGGAGAAUCCAGGAGGAAGAAAUAGCAGCAGCUGAUGUGGAGAUCACCCACUGAUGAUCCAAAAGAUCCUGUUGGAAUAUUAAGCAAUUUCGAGAAUAACGAAUUAAUGAGUUAUUUCAGAAUAUAGAUCAUGGCCACAGUAGCAACUAGCAUAACAUGUGUCGGGUUCGAAACCAUUCUCUCAAUGCACAUGGGAAGAGAGAGAUGAAAAUGGUGUUGAGCCACGUCCUUUGGAACUUUGGAAGGCUACUCACUACAAGCAGGGAAAAUGGUCAGAUGAAGUGUCUGAAGCAGUUUAUAUUGAUGCAUUGAAGAGGUUGGAAAGGGAAGAAUCACAAGCAUUGGAGGGAGAAACAAAAAUUUCCAAAGUUACAAUUGCCGAGGAAGAACUUGCUUUGCAGGCUGCAAACAGGAAAACAUCAGGGCUCAAACAAAACAAGUUAGUUGGAGGUGGAUACCUGUCGAAGAAUGCAACUAAAAGCCAACUGCUCAAGAAAAACUAGAACGACAAGAACGCAAGGUUGAUAGAUUAAAAGAACAGCUUGCGAUAGGCAAGCAGCGAAGGAAGAACUCAAAAACUCCCUUAGAGAAAAACCGAUGAAAGAGUUUCAUGCUAUGUUCAAAGAUGACAGGGUAUUGUCAGAUGUACAGAAGAUAGAUGAUCUUAGAGAUAUUAUUGGAAUGAACCCAAAAGAGAUAAAAAAGAUGAUCUCAGGGAUCAUCGACUCUUAGAUCCAUGGUUGGCCUCUACCGGAGCGGAUGACAACCGUUGUUGUCAAGACUACCGAUAUUACUCUUUCCAACAUAGGAGUGCAAAUCUGUACCGAUGUUUUGAGAGGUGUUAACGCAGUACGAAAAUGCUUUGGUUUGUUGUGUUGAGUGUGAGAAAGCACCCGAAGUGCUUUGGUUAGUUGCGUUGAUUUUGCAAUUGUAUUUCUUGUGUAACGGCGCCGUGUAUUUGUAUAAUUAAUACUUCC
Long non-coding RNA from Brachypodium distachyon (stiff brome), 2655 nucleotides. RefSeq lists it as uncharacterized. NCBI's taxonomy places the organism in Eukaryota, Viridiplantae, Streptophyta, Magnoliopsida, Poales, Poaceae. The record is from RefSeq and is a predicted model, not a curated record. The transcript has 8 exons.